GUAGGUAUAAUUAAGUGGUAGAGCACUGUGCUUAGCAUGCAUAAGAUCCUGGGUUCAAUCCCCAGUAACUUCA
RNAcentral lists this transfer RNA (73 nucleotides) under Camelus bactrianus (Bactrian camel). It matches the Rfam family "tRNA". From Rfam's summary of the family: Transfer RNA (tRNA) molecules are approximately 80 nucleotides in length. Their secondary structure includes four short double-helical elements and three loops (D, anti-codon, and T loops). RNAcentral also lists the same sequence under 2 other names. The record is from Rfam by way of RNAcentral. Lineage: Eukaryota; Metazoa; Chordata; Mammalia; Artiodactyla; Camelidae.